GGCGCAUGGCGGAUAUGUAUAACUGAAUUCCUAAUGAGGAUAAUCCGGGAAACUGGGGGUAAUACUCCAUAGUUCGUGCUGACUGGAAUGUUAUGCGAACGAAAGAUCCGUCGCUUCAGGAUGAGUCUGCGGCCGAUUAGGUAGUUGUUGGGGUAACGGCCCAACAAGCCUGUCAUCGGUACGGGUUGUGGGAGCAAGAGCCCGGAGAUGGAUUCUKAGACACGAAUCCAGGCCCUACGGGGCGCACAGGCGCGAAAACUUUACCAUGCGGGCAACCGUGAUAAGGAAACCCCGAGUGCCAGCACAGGCUGGCUGUCCGCCAGUGUAAAUWACUGGUGAAGAAAGGGCCGGGCAAGACCGGUGCCAGCCGCCGCGGUAAUACCGGCGGCUCGAGUGGUGGCCACUAUUACUGGGCUUAAHGGGUCCGUAGCUUGAUAUGCAAGUYUCUUGAGAHAUCCGCCAGCUUAACUUGUGGGCGUUCAGGGGAAACUGCAUUUCUAGGGACCGGGAGABGUGAGAGGUACUGCCGGGGUAGGACUGAAAUCCUGUAAUCCCGGUGGGACCACCUAUUGCGAAGGGAUCUCACCAGAHCGGGUCCGACAGUBAGGGGACGAMAGCUGKGGGGAGCAAACCGGAUUACAUACCCGGGGUAGUCCCAGCUGUAAACG
Molecule: ribosomal RNA, 668 nt
Filed under: uncultured archaeon
Lineage: Archaea
Description: bacterial SSU rRNA
Rfam family: Archaeal small subunit ribosomal RNA
Source: RNAcentral